Molecule: non-coding RNA, 19 nt
Organism: Nocardia donostiensis
Lineage: Bacteria; Bacillati; Actinomycetota; Actinomycetes; Mycobacteriales; Nocardiaceae
Source: Rfam
CGCGACCGGUGAGUACGCC